RNAcentral lists this ribosomal RNA (245 nucleotides) under uncultured bacterium. RNAcentral describes it as "partial 16S ribosomal RNA". It matches the Rfam family "Bacterial small subunit ribosomal RNA", at positions 524 to 768 of the family's 1533-position model. The record is from RNAcentral.
UACGGAGGGUGCAAGCGUUAAUCGGAAUCACUGGGCGUAAAGCGCUCGUAGGCUGUUUGGUAAGUCAGACGUGAAAUCCCGCGGCUUAACCGCGGAACUGCGUUUGAUACUGCCAGACUUGAGUGUCGGAGAGGGUGGCGGAAUUCCGGGUGUAGGAGUGAAAUCCGUAGAUAUCCGGAGGAACACCAGUGGCGAAGGCGGCCACCUGGACGACAACUGACGCUGAGGAGCGAAAGCGUGGGUAG